Molecule: long non-coding RNA, 275 nt
Filed under: Lathyrus oleraceus (garden pea)
Lineage: Eukaryota; Viridiplantae; Streptophyta; Magnoliopsida; Fabales; Fabaceae
Description: Pisum sativum (pea) long non-coding RNA (PSAT_LNC014089)
Source: RNAcentral
UCCAUACAUUGUUUCACUAGUGGAAGGCUCUACCUCCAAUUGAGCUCUCUCCGUUCCUACUUCUGAGUUUCUUUUCUCUAUGUCCACGCACUUUAUACCCAUUUAAGUCUCAUAAAAAAUAAUGUCCCUAUUUAUUAUGAAUACUGAUGUUUCAUGUUUCAUCUUUCCCUUUACAUUUUCCAGGUAUUCAAUUAAGACACAUUUUAGAGCUUUGGUAUCAAGCUUCUCUAGCUUAAUAUGCUCAAAAGCGAAUGUUCUAAAAAAACCUUCAAGUU